This is a long non-coding RNA of Lolium rigidum, 463 nucleotides long. RefSeq lists it as uncharacterized. The transcript has 2 exons. NCBI's taxonomy places the organism in Eukaryota, Viridiplantae, Streptophyta, Magnoliopsida, Poales, Poaceae. The record is from RefSeq and is a predicted model, not a curated record.
UAAUGCGGUAGUCCAUCAUAUUGAAUAAUUUUUAUUUGGUUGGUUCUAAGCCUUGAUGACGCUCUUGCAUGAUAGAACCUUAUGGUACUAAUUUUACCUUGCCACGUUGUCUUUCUUCACGAGCAAUUGAGUGAACUGAACUUUCAAUUUUUGCUUAACCAUUUUCUGAAGAAGCCCUCUGAUUUCAUUAGGGGUCUACCUUCCUAGAGCCAGUCCAUAAAGGCCAAGGGAAAUGUGACUCUAGGUUACAGUUACCAAGUCGACAAAGUCAUUUCUGAACUUCCAAGUAUUUUCAUAACGGAAAAUCUUUGAUCUGGAGAAACAUAUUAGUAAAUUGAAUAAGGAAUUGGAUUAGAUCCAUUUCUUGCUUCAAAAUGUCUGCUUUCCCAAAAUCAAAGAUGUAAGCACCUUACCGUGCUAUAGAUUAUAUCCAACAUCUAUGUAAUGCAGCUAUAUCCCUCCA